Molecule: ribosomal RNA, 586 nt
Filed under: uncultured bacterium
Lineage: Bacteria
Description: partial 16S ribosomal RNA
Rfam family: Bacterial small subunit ribosomal RNA
Source: RNAcentral
UGGGGAAUUUUGGACAAUGGGCGAAAGCCUGAUCCAGCAAUGCCGCGUGUGUGAAGAAGGCCUUCGGGUUGUAAAGCACUUUUGUCCGGAAAGAAAUCCUCUGGGUUAAUACCUCGGGGGGAUGACGGUACCGGAAGAAUAAGCACCGGCUAACUACGUGCCAGCAGCCGCGGUAAUACGUAGGGUGCAAGCGUUAAUCGGAAUUACUGGGCGUAAAGCGUGCGCAGGCGGUUUUGUAAGACGGAUGUGAAAUCCCCGGGCUUAACCUGGGAACUGCAUUCGUGACUGCAAGGCUAGAGUAUGGCAGAGGGGGGUAGAAUUCCACGUGUAGCAGUGAAAUGCGUAGAGAUGUGGAGGAAUACCGAUGGCGAAGGCAGCCCCCUGGGCCAAUACUGACGCUCAUGCACGAAAGCGUGGGGAGCAAACAGGAUUAGAUACCCUGGUAGUCCACGCCCUAAACGAUGUCAACUAGUUGUUGGGGAUUCAUUUCCUUAGUAACGUAGCUAACGCGUGAAGUUGACCGCCUGGGGAGUACGGUCGCAAGAUUAAAACUCAAAUGAAUUGACGGGGGUCAUAGCUGUUUCCU